Molecule: ribosomal RNA, 497 nt
Filed under: uncultured bacterium
Lineage: Bacteria
Description: partial 16S ribosomal RNA
Rfam family: Bacterial small subunit ribosomal RNA
Source: RNAcentral
GAUGAACGCUGGCGGCGUGCCUAAUACAUGCAAGUCGAGCGAACAGACGAGGAGCUUGCUCCUCUGACGUUAGCGGCGGACGGGUGAGUAACACGUGUAUAACCUACCUAUAAGACUGGGAUAACUUCGGGAAACCGGAGCUAAUACCGGAUAAUAUAUUGAACCGCAUGGUUCAAUAGUGAAAGACGGUUUUGCUGUCACUUAUAGAUGGAUCCGCGCCGCAUUAGCUAGUUGGUAAGGUAACGGCUUACCAAGGCGACGAUGCGUAGCCGACCUGAGAGGGUGAUCGGCCACACUGGAACUGAGACACGGUCCAGACUCCUACGGGAGGCAGCAGUAGGGAAUCUUCCGCAAUGGGCGAAAGCCUGACGGAGCAACGCCGCGUGAGUGAUAAAGGUCUUCGGAUCGUAAAGCUCUGUUAUUAGGGAAAAACAAAUGUGUAAGUAACUAUGCACGUCUUGACGGUACCUAAUCAGAAAGCCACGGCUAACUACGUG